ACAUAAGUAACGAUAAAGCGGGUGAAAAGCCCGCUCGCCGGAAGACCAAGGGUUCCUGUCCAACGUUAAUCGGGGCAGGGUGAGUCGACCCCUAAGGCGAGGCCGAAAGGCGUAGUCGAUGGGAAACAGGUUAAUAUUCCUGUACUUGGUGUUACUGCGAAGGGGGGACGGAGAAGGCUAUGUUGGCCGGGCGACGGUUGUCCCGGUUUAAGCGUGUAGGCUGGUUUUCCAGGCAAAUCCGGAAAAUCAAGGCUGAGGCGUGA
This 263-nucleotide ribosomal RNA is filed under the name Salmonella enterica subsp. enterica serovar Newport. RNAcentral describes it as "partial 23S ribosomal RNA". It matches the Rfam family "Bacterial large subunit ribosomal RNA", at positions 1300 to 1566 of the family's 2925-position model. The record is from RNAcentral. RNAcentral also lists the same sequence under 1 other name. Lineage: Bacteria; Pseudomonadati; Pseudomonadota; Gammaproteobacteria; Enterobacterales; Enterobacteriaceae.